AAAAAGGUUUUGGAUCCCCUCUGGCUACAGAUUGAACGCUGGCGGCAUGCCUAACACAUGCAAUGUCGAACGGCAGCACAGAGGAGCUUGCUCCUUGGGUGGCGAGUGGCGGACGGGUGAGUAAUGCAUCGGGAUCUACCCUGACGUGGGGGAUAACCUCGGGAAACCGGGACUAAUACCGCAUACGUCCUACGGGAGAAAGCGGGGGACCUUUUAGGCCUCGCGCGGCAGGACGAACCGAUGUGCGAUUAGCUAGUUGGCGGGGUAAUGGCCCACCAAGGCGACGAUCGCUAGCUGGUCUGAGAGGAUGAUCAGCCACACUGGGACUGAGACACGGCCCAGACUCCUACGGGAGGCAGCAGUGGGGAAUAUUGGACAAUGGGCGCAAGCCUGAUCCAGCAAUGCCGCGUGUGUGAAGAAGGCCUUCGGGUUGUAAAGCACUUUUAUCAGGAGCGAAAUCUGCAUGCUUAAUACGUGUGCAGUCUGACGGUACCUGAGGAAUAAGCACCGGCUAACUUCGUGCCAGCAGCCGCGGUAAUACGAAGGGUGCAAGCGUUAAUCGGAAUUACUGGGCGUAAAGGGUGCGUAGGCGGUUCGUUAAGUCUGUCGCGAAAUCCCCGGGCUCAACCUGGGAAUGGCGAUGGAUACUGGCGAGCUAGAGUGUGUCAGAGGAUGGUGGAAUUCCCGGUGUAGCGGUGAAAUGCGUAGAGAUCGUGGAGGAACAUCAUUGGCGAAAGGCGGCCAUUCUGGGACAACACUGACGC
This 764-nucleotide ribosomal RNA is filed under the name uncultured Rhodanobacter sp. RNAcentral describes it as "bacterial SSU rRNA". It matches the Rfam family "Bacterial small subunit ribosomal RNA", at positions 1 to 746 of the family's 1533-position model. Lineage: Bacteria; Pseudomonadati; Pseudomonadota; Gammaproteobacteria; Lysobacterales; Rhodanobacteraceae. The record is from RNAcentral.